GCUUUCAUGGUGUAGCCAAAGUC
Molecule: non-coding RNA, 23 nt
Filed under: Arabidopsis thaliana (thale cress)
Lineage: Eukaryota; Viridiplantae; Streptophyta; Magnoliopsida; Brassicales; Brassicaceae
Source: RNAcentral